GAUGAACGCUGGCGGCGUGCCUAAUACAUGCAAGUCGAGCGAACAGACGAGGAGCUUGCUCCUCUGACGUUAGCGGCGGACGGGUGAGUAACACGUGGAUAACCUACCUAUAAGACUGGGAUAACUUCGGGAAACCGGAGCUAAUACCGGAUAAUAUAUUGAACCGCAUGGUUCAAUAGUGAAAGACGGUUUUGCUGUCACUUAUAGAUGGAUCCGCGCCGCAUUAGCUAGUUGGUAAGGUAACGGCUUACCAAGGCAACGAUGCGUAGCCGACCUGAGAGGGUGAUCGGCCACACUGGAACUGAGACACGGUCCAGACUCCUACGGGAGGCAGCAGUAGGGAAGCUUCCGCAAUGGGCGAAAGCCUAACGGAGCAACGCCGCGUGAGUGAUGAAGGUCUUCGGAUCGUAAAACUCUGUUAUUAGGGAAGAACAAAUGUGUAAGUAACUAUGCACGUCUUGACGGUACCUAAUCAGAAAGCCACGGCUAACUACGUG
This 497-nucleotide ribosomal RNA is filed under the name uncultured bacterium. RNAcentral describes it as "partial 16S ribosomal RNA". It matches the Rfam family "Bacterial small subunit ribosomal RNA", at positions 28 to 507 of the family's 1533-position model. The record is from RNAcentral.